Molecule: ribosomal RNA, 360 nt
Filed under: Triticum aestivum (bread wheat)
Lineage: Eukaryota; Viridiplantae; Streptophyta; Magnoliopsida; Poales; Poaceae
Description: partial small subunit ribosomal RNA
Source: RNAcentral
AUGAGUGUUGAAUCUCAUAUACUUUGUUAUAAAGAGAUGAAAAUUGGUGCUCUUCUGACCUCUGCUGGAAUCAAUAUUGGUCUUUGUAUACUUUUUCUGUUAUUCUAUUCCAUUUUGAGGAAGAACCCACAAAAUGUUAAGGUCUAUUUUGGGAGAAGGAUUGCUGAACAACAUAAGAGGCUCCGAGGAGCUUUUAUUUUGGAGAUAUUUGUUUCAUCCCACAUAGGAGCAGCUGCUGGAAUAGAAAUAAAUUGCUUCUAUACAUGUGUAGCUAAGCUAGCACAAAGAAGGGGUGUCCCUAACAUGUUGUUGAUUCCAUUUCUUCUACUAUAUUAUAUGAAUAGUCAGUCUAAUUGCUGA